RNAcentral lists this ribosomal RNA (478 nucleotides) under uncultured bacterium. RNAcentral describes it as "bacterial SSU rRNA". It matches the Rfam family "Bacterial small subunit ribosomal RNA", at positions 19 to 518 of the family's 1533-position model. The record is from RNAcentral.
CUGGCUCAGGACGAACGCUGGCGGCGUGCUUAACACAUGCAAGUUGAACGGUAUGACAUGGAAGCUUGGCUGAAGUGUCAUAUAGUAGCGGACGGGUGAGUAAUGCAUGAGAAGCUGCCAUUGGAGGGGGACAACAGUUGGAAACGGCUGCUAAUACCCCGUAUGCCGGAGGGUGAAAGGGAGUAAUCCGCCCGAUGAGGUGCUCAUGUCCUAUCAGCUGGUUGGUGGGGUAACGGCCUACCAAGGCGACGACGGGUAGCCGGCCUGAGAGGGUGAACGGCCACACUGGAACUGAGAUACGGUCCAGACUCCUACGGGAGGCAGCAGUGGGGAAUAUUUGGGGCAAUGGGGGCAACCCUGACCCAGCGACGCCGCGUGGGGGAAGACGGCCUUCGGGUUGUAAACCUCUUUUGUACGGGAAGAAGGAAGUGACGGUACUGUACGAAUAAGUCCCGGCUAACUACGUGCCAGCCGCGGC